This is an RNA transcript of Triplophysa rosa, 2185 nucleotides long. RefSeq lists it as uncharacterized. The record is from RefSeq and is a predicted model, not a curated record. The transcript has 4 exons. NCBI's taxonomy places the organism in Eukaryota, Metazoa, Chordata, Actinopteri, Cypriniformes, Nemacheilidae.
AUCUGGAACCAGUCGUGCUUGUGCAUGUUCUUCACUUUAAUCCGCUUUUUGUCUUUGAACUGCAGGCUGUAUCGCAUCAGACGACACAACUCGUCGGAAAAUUCCCGAUCACUCCAGCUGGCGUCGUACAUGUUGUGCAGUUCGAAAGCGAACGGAAAGCGUCCGUGCAACAGGCGGAACAGCAGCAUCCCGAGAGACCACACCGUCGCCGGCUUUCCGCGGUAUCUGUUGCUGAUGAACACUUCGAUGGGUAAAUAGGGCUCUGUGCCGGUGAUUUUCUUCACGUAGCCUCUCUUGAGUCGGAGCCGAAGUCGAUGAGUUUGACCUUUAAGGUCUUUGGGUUCACCAGCAGGUUUUCCAGUUUAAUGUCGCGGUGGAAAACCCCUCUCUUACAGCACUCCUGCGCAGCUGUGAGCGCCUGUCGCAUGAUGCGGGCCGCUCGAGGAUCAAGAUGUAGCGAUCGGGUUCCUCGAACCACUCCGGCAGCUGGAGGAUCUCAGGCCGACGAGACCACUGAUAUUGCCACACAGUGCCAACUUGUGCUUGUGCUGCGCUACAUUGCUGGCAAAAGCAACGUACAGGAGAUGUUUUUUGCUUUUAUUCAUCUGCGUUCAACUACAGCUGAUUCCAUCGCUACAGCACCAAAAGAGCAUCUUACUGUCAUCCUUCCAGAGGAUCAGAAGAGUAAACUCAUCUCCCAAGCGUAUGAUGGAGCCAGCGUGAUGAGAGGUGCCACUGCAGGUGUUCAAAGGAAGAUUCAAGAUGUGUACCCAAAUGCCCAUUACAUCCACUGCUAUGCUCAUCAGCUCAAUCUAAUAAUGCAAAAGGCCACUUCUCACAUACCCAAAGUUAGAGUUUUUUUUUCUAACCUUGGAGGAUUUGGCAGCUUUUUUUCAAGAUCCACCAAGCGCACAGAUGUUCUUGAUAAAGUAGUUGCCCAUAGACUACCAACAUCAAGCAGUGUUAGAUGGAACUUCCACAGCCGUGCCAUCAUCGUGUUUGAGCACAGAGAGGGCCUCAUUCGCUGUUUUGAAACUAUUGGAGACUCAGGUGACUUUGACCCUGUUACCACCACAGAGGCAGGAGGCUUUGCCAUGCUGCUGGAGGAUCAGGAUUUUCCUUUUUUUUGCAACUUUCCACAACAUCAUGCCACACGUGGACAUCCUCUAUGCCAAACUCCAGAAGGACAUCGAUUCAGUCCACAUUAAGGGGAGGUUCCAGCAGGACAUACAGAAGAUCAGAAAUUCUCUCCAUUCUCUGGUUAACCAAAGCAGUGAAGGAGCUUCUCAACCAAAGAGGCGGCGGUCGCUUAGUCCAGACGUCCAUGAACGGAUUGCAACGGAGGUCUGUGACACCAUACUCCAACACACCAUGGAACGGUUCUGCUUCACAAGCCACCUCGUUAGUGCCACCCUGCUGCAAGCAGACAGGUUUGAACAGUACACAGUGGCGUUUCCUGAAGAUGCACUGAGUAGGACUUUGAAGGCCUAUCCAGUGCUCAAUGAGAGUAAGCUAGAGACAGAGCUUAGUCUCAUCUACUACAAGGAAGAGUUCAGAACCUGUUGUGGUGCUGUGGACCUACUGCAGCUGUUUAAGGAGAACAAUCUUGAAGAAGUCUUUUCAGAGACUAAAGAUCCUCAUCACCACACCCAUGACCACAGCAGAGGCUGAGAGGUGUUUCUCAACUUUGAAAAGAGUUAAGACUUUUCUGAGAAAUAGCAUGACCCAGGAGAGGCUAAAUGCAUUGGCCAUGCUGUCAAUGGAGAAGAGAAUGGUGACUGAGAUCAUUGACUUUAACCAGAAGGUCAUUGAGAAAUUUGCAAGUCAGAAAGAAAGGAGAGCAAAAUUUAUUUUCAAAUAGUGUUAAUGGCCAAUGAUUAGGUAACUAUAGUGUGUUGUGUUUUUUUUAAAUGAUUACCUUGAUUACUUCAUUACUGAUAAUAAACCCACAUUCAGUUCAAAUUCACUGAUUCAUAGUACAUUUAUUUGCAUGUAUUAACAUUGACUGUAAUAAUGACACAUCACCUGAUUAAUGGCUAUUUAUAGUUCUGCAUUACUGACAGUUGGAUUUUCAGUUUGUUUGCGCCCCCCAAAUAUUUUUAGCACCAGCCUCCACUGAUGCAAACAUUACACUUGAAUAAACGUGUUUUACCUCAGAAAGCGAACUUUCAUCGCUCGCGCUGUC